Molecule: ribosomal RNA, 615 nt
Filed under: uncultured Verrucomicrobiota bacterium
Lineage: Bacteria; Pseudomonadati; Verrucomicrobiota
Description: bacterial SSU rRNA
Rfam family: Bacterial small subunit ribosomal RNA
Source: RNAcentral
AAAACUCAAAGAAAUUGACGGGGGCCCGCACAAGCGGAGGAGCAUGUGGCUUAAUUCUAUGCAACGCGAAGAACCUUACCAGGGCUUGACAUGCAGCUGCACGCCCCUGAAAGGGGGAAGCCUUCGAGGGUGCUGCACAGGUGCUGCAUGGCUGUCGUCAGUUCGUGCCGUGAGGUGUUGGGUUAAGUCCCGCAACGAACGCAACCCUUGUGUUUAGUUGCCACCGCAGGUGAUGAGCCUGCGAGCACUCUAAACAGACUGCCCGUACAAGCGGGAGGAAGGUGGGGACGACGUCAAGUCAGUAUGGCCCUUACGCCCUGGGCUGCACACGUGCUACAAUGGUCGGUACAAAGGGACGCAAUACCGCGAGGUGGAGCAAAUCCCUAAAACCGGCCUCAGUUCGGAUUGGAGUCUGCAACUCGACUCCAUGAAGUUGGAUUCGCUAGUAACGGCGCAUCAGCUACGGCGCCGUGAAUACGUUCCCGGGCCUUGUACACACCGCCCGUCACAUCAUGAAAGCCGUCUGCACCCGAAGUCGCUGAGCCAACCCGCAAGGGGGGCAAGUGCCGAAGGUGUGGUGGGUGAUUGGGAUGAAGUCGUAACAAGGUAACCGUA